UACGUAGGGUGCGAGCGUUAAUCGGAAUUACUGGGCGUAAAGCGCGCGCAGGCGGUUUUGUAAGCCCGAUGUGAAAUCCCCGGGCUUAACCUGGGAAUGGCAUUUGGGACUGCAAGGCUCGAGUGCGGCAGAGGAGACUGGAAUUCCUGGUGUAGCAGUGAAAUGCGUAGAUAUCAGGAGGAACACCGAUGGCGAAGGCAGGUCUCUGGGCUGACACUGACGCUCAUGCACGAAAGCGUGGGGAGCAAACAGG
This 253-nucleotide ribosomal RNA is filed under the name uncultured bacterium. RNAcentral's name for it is "partial 16S ribosomal RNA". It matches the Rfam family "Bacterial small subunit ribosomal RNA", at positions 524 to 776 of the family's 1533-position model. The record is from RNAcentral.